RNAcentral lists this ribosomal RNA (538 nucleotides) under uncultured soil bacterium. RNAcentral describes it as "bacterial SSU rRNA". It matches the Rfam family "Bacterial small subunit ribosomal RNA", at positions 87 to 623 of the family's 1533-position model. The record is from RNAcentral.
CCUAGAGACCGGCGCACGGGUGCGUAACGCGUAUGCAAUCUACCUUUUACAGAGGGAUAGCCCAGAGAAAUUUGGAUUAAUACCUCAUAGUAUUACGACUCGGCAUCGAGAUGUAAUUAAAGUCACAACGGUAAAAGAUGAGCAUGCGUCCCAUUAGCUUGUUGGUAAGGUAACGGCUUACCAAGGCAACGAUGGGUAGGGGUCCUGAGAGGGAGAUCCCCCACACUGGUACUGAGACACGGACCAGACUCCUACGGGAGGCAGCAGUGAGGAAUAUUGGUCAAUGGGCGCAAGCCUGAACCAGCCAUGCCGCGUGCAGGAUGACGGUCCUAUGGAUUGUAAACUGCUUUUGUACAGGAAGAAACAGUUCUACGUGUAGAACCUUGACGGUACUGUAAGAAUAAGGAUCGGCUAACUCCGUGCCAGCAGCCGCGGUAAUACGGAGGAUCCAAGCGUUAUCCGGAAUCAUUGGGUUUAAAGGGUCCGUAGGCGGUUUUGUAAGUCAGUGGUGAAAGCCCAUCGCUCAACGGUGGAACGG